This 504-nucleotide ribosomal RNA is filed under the name uncultured bacterium. Its description in RNAcentral is "partial 16S ribosomal RNA". It matches the Rfam family "Bacterial small subunit ribosomal RNA", at positions 29 to 523 of the family's 1533-position model. The record is from RNAcentral.
AUUGAACGCUGGCGGCAGGCCUAACACAUGCAAGUCGAACGGUAGCACAGAGAGCUUGCUCUCGGGUGACGAGUGGCGGACGGGUGAGUAACGUCUGGGAAACUGCCCGAUGGAGGGGGAUAACUACUGGAAACGGUAGCUAAUACCGCAUAACGUCGCAAGACCAAAGUGGGGGACCUUCGGGCCUCACACCAUCGGAUGUGCCCAGAUGGGAUUAGCUAGCAGGUGGGGUAAUGGCUCACCUAGGCGACGAUCCCUAGCUGUUCUGAGAGGAUGACCAGCCACACUGGAACUGAGACACGGUCCAGACUCCGACGGGAGGCAGCAGUGGGGAAUAUUGCACAAUGGGCGCAAGCCUGAUGCAGCCAUGCCGCGUGUAUGAAGGAGGCCUUCGGGUUGUAAAGUACUUUCAGCGGGGAGGAAGGCGGUGAAGUUAAUAACUUCACCGAUUGACGUUACCCGCAGAAGAAGCACCGGCUAACUCCGUGCCAGCCGCCGCGGUAA